Molecule: ribosomal RNA, 328 nt
Filed under: uncultured eukaryote
Lineage: Eukaryota
Description: partial 18S ribosomal RNA
Rfam family: Eukaryotic small subunit ribosomal RNA
Source: RNAcentral
CCCUUAGAUGUCCGGGGCCGCACGCGCGCUACACUGAAGGAAUCAGCGUGGCUUUCUCCCUGACCCGAAAGGGUUGGGAAACCCGUUGAAUCUCCUUCGUGAUAGGGAUUGGGGCUUGAAAUUGUUCCCCAUGAACGAGGAAUUCCCAGUAAGCGCGAGUCAUAAGCUCGCGUUGAUUACGUCCCUGCCCUUUGUACACACCGCCCGUCGCACCUACCGAUUGAAUGGUCCGGUGAAGCCUCGGGAUUGUGGCCAGUUCACUUUAUUGGGAGUUGGCUGUGAGAACUUGUCUAAACCUUAUCAUUUAGAGGAAGGUGAAGUCGUAACA